This is a non-coding RNA of Triticum aestivum (bread wheat), 102 nucleotides long. The record is from Rfam. Lineage: Eukaryota; Viridiplantae; Streptophyta; Magnoliopsida; Poales; Poaceae.
UGAUGCGACCAUACCAGCACUAAAGCACCGGAUCCCGUCAGAACUCCGAAGUUAAGCGUGCUUGGGCGAGAGUGGUACUAGGAAGUCCUCGUGUUGCAUCCC